Nycticebus coucang (slow loris) is the source of this 215-nucleotide long non-coding RNA. RefSeq lists it as uncharacterized. NCBI's taxonomy places the organism in Eukaryota, Metazoa, Chordata, Mammalia, Primates, Lorisidae. The record is from RefSeq and is a predicted model, not a curated record. The transcript is spliced from 3 exons.
UGAAUAUGGCAAUUCUUUAUUCAGAGCACUGCAAAUGACUGGCAAUCUAUUGCAGUUACCACCAAUGGAGAAAGGAAAAAAAAGAAGGAUAUGACAAUUUAAAAGUGCUCAUUUCAAAUGAGAAGAUUUUCAAUCUGCCUGCAACUAGCUGCCUAAACUUUUAGACGAAUAGGGAAGAAUGCAGUCAAUCACCCAGAUGUUCCUCCUGCGGGAGG